GAUGAACGCUGGCGGCGUGCCUAACACAUGCAAGUCGAGCGAUUUACUUCGGUAAAGAGCGGCGGACGGGUGAGUAACGCGUGGGUAACCUGCCUCAUACACAUGGAUAACAUACCGAAAGGUAUGCUAAUACAGGAUAAUAUAAGAGAUUCACAUGGAUUUCUUAUCAAAGCUCCGGCGGUAUGAGAUGGACCCGCGUCUGAUUAGCUAGUUGGUAAGGUAAUGGCUUACCAAGGCGACGAUCAGUAGCCGACCUGAGAGGGUGAUCGGCCACAUUGGAACUGAGACACGGUCCAAACUCCUACGGGAGGCAGCAGUGGGGAAUAUUGCACAAUGGGCGAAAGCCUGAUGCAGCAACGCCGCGUGAGUGAUGAAGGCCUUCGGGUCGUAAAACUCUGUCCUCAAGGAAGAUAAUGACGGUACUUGAGGAGGAAGCCCCGGCUAACUACGUGCCAGCAGCCGCGGUAAUACGUAGGGGGCUAGCGUUAUCCGGAUUUACUGGGCGUAAAGGGUGCGUAGGUGGUUUUUUAAGUCAGGAGUGAAAGGCUACGGCUCAACCGUAGUAAGCUCUUGAAACUGGAAAACUUGAGUGCAGGAGAGGAAAGUGGAAUUCCUAGUGUAGCGGUGAAAUGCGUAGAUAUUAGGAGGAACACCAGUAGCGAAGGCGGCUUUCUGGACUGUAACUGACACUGAGGCACGAAAGCGUGGGGAGCAAACAGGAUUAGAUACCCUGGUAGUCCACGCCGUAAACGAUGAGUACUAGGUGUCGGGGGUUACCCCCCUCGGUGCCGCAGCUAACGCAUUAAGUACUCCGCCUGGGGAGUACGCUCGCAAGAGUGA
RNAcentral lists this ribosomal RNA (840 nucleotides) under uncultured bacterium. RNAcentral describes it as "bacterial SSU rRNA". It matches the Rfam family "Bacterial small subunit ribosomal RNA", at positions 28 to 897 of the family's 1533-position model. The record is from RNAcentral.